Molecule: small nuclear RNA, 103 nt
Organism: Apodemus sylvaticus (European woodmouse)
Lineage: Eukaryota; Metazoa; Chordata; Mammalia; Rodentia; Muridae
Source: RefSeq, a predicted model, not a curated record
UCACUUCGGCAGCAACUACACUAAAAUUGGAACGAUACAGAGAAGAUUAGCAUGGCCCCUGUGCAAGGAUGACAUGCAAUACCUUGUAAGGACUGUGUUUUGU